This 510-nucleotide ribosomal RNA is filed under the name uncultured bacterium. Its description in RNAcentral is "partial 16S ribosomal RNA". It matches the Rfam family "Bacterial small subunit ribosomal RNA", at positions 28 to 507 of the family's 1533-position model. The record is from RNAcentral.
GACGAACGCUGGCGGCGUGCUUAACACAUGCAAGUCGAACGAAGAGCGAUGGAAGCUUGCUUCUAUCAAUCUUAGUGGCGAACGGGUGAGUAACGCGUAAUCAACCUGCCCUUCAGAGGGGGACAACAGUUGGAAACGACUGCUAAUACCGCAUACGAUCUAAUCUCGGCAUCGAGGAUAGAUGAAAGGUGGCCUCUACAUGUAAGCUAUCACUGAAGGAGGGGAUUGCGUCUGAUUAGCUAGUUGGAGGGGUAACGGCCCACCAAGGCGAUGAUCAGUAGCCGGUCUGAGAGGAUGAACGGCCACAUUGGGACUGAGACACGGCCCAGACUCCUACGGGAGGCAGCAGUGGGGAAUCUUCCGCAAUGGACGAAAGUCUGACGGAGCAACGCCGCGUGAGUGAUGACGGCCUUCGGGUUGUAAAGCUCUGUUAAUCGGGACGAAAGGCCUUCUUGCGAAUAGUGAGAAGGAUUGACGGUACCGGUAUAGAAAGCCACGGCUAACUACGUG